AACUAACGCUGGCGGCGUGCCUAACACAUGCAAGUCGUACGAGAAAGCCGGCUUCGGCUGGUGAGUAAAGUGGCGCACGGGUGAGUAACGCGUGGAUAAUCUGCCCUUAAGUGUGGAAUAACGUACCGAAAGGUGCGCUAAUACCGCAUAAUGCCUGGCAACACAAGUUGUCCGGCCAAAGAAGGCCUCUGUUUACAAGCUUUCGCUUCAGGAUGAGUCCGCGUACCAUUAGCUUGUUGGUGGGGGUAAUGGCCUACCAAGGCUGCGAUGGUUAGCUGGUCUGAGAGGAUGAUCAGCCACACUGGAACUGAGACACGGUCCAGACUCCUACGGGAGGCAGCAGUGAGGAAUAUUGCGCAAUGGGGGCAACCCUGACGCAGCAACGCCGCGUGAGUGAGGAAGGUUUUCGGACUGUAAAGCUCUGUCGAAGCGGGAAGAAGUGUACCAUGGCUAAUAUCCAUGAUAUUUGACGGGUACCCGUA
This 482-nucleotide ribosomal RNA is filed under the name uncultured bacterium. Its description in RNAcentral is "bacterial SSU rRNA". It matches the Rfam family "Bacterial small subunit ribosomal RNA", at positions 29 to 483 of the family's 1533-position model. The record is from RNAcentral.